Triticum urartu is the source of this 854-nucleotide long non-coding RNA. RefSeq lists it as uncharacterized. The record is from RefSeq and is a predicted model, not a curated record. NCBI's taxonomy places the organism in Eukaryota, Viridiplantae, Streptophyta, Magnoliopsida, Poales, Poaceae.
AGCGCCCCCACGCCGCCCGAACUCGAACAGCAGCAGCGCACCCACACACCUUCUUCCUCUCAUGCCGCUAGCCCACCGUACUCCCCUCCUCCCCUCCUGGCUCCCCCCCCUCGUGCACACACCCUCCCAUUCCGAGGCCUCCCCGCCAUGCCCAGCUACCCCUCAACCGGCCGCGCCGCCUGCACUCCCACCGCACCGCUGUAGUAUCCUCUCCUUUGGCCAGAUCCCGUUGAGAUCCGCGAGUCCACGGCAACCCUGGAAGGAUCACGGCGCGGCCACGGGCUUCCUCCCCUACGACAUCCCCUUCCCUCACCUCUAGCCUCCACUGCUCGAUCCAGUCCCUGAAGCCUGAUCUAGUCCACAACUCGGAGUCGGAAUCGUCGAUGCAGGUCGCGGCCAUAUCGCUGCAAGGAGCGACCGAUCCCAUCGUGGGCGUCCUGAACUGCAGGGAUGCACAGAGCCGCCAUCGGGCCCAGCAGCCGGGGAUGCGCCGUGCUGGGAGGCUGCCAUCCUUCGUCGCCACUGUCCCGCAUCCGUCUCCCCACCAGGCAAUGUCGACCAUGGGUUGAGGCCUGAUAUUGGCGGACAAGGUUCUCUCUCCGAUGACGUCGGCGGGACAGCCGGAUCUCCGUCGAGCAAUCCACUGAAUGCCCGCACCCUUGCACAAAAUUAGAAUUGGGUGUUUGUAUUUUUAGUUUCUUGUGUUCUGCUGGUCCUUGCAGAUGCAUUGUAUGGAAAUACCCGUAGUUUAAAGCUUGUGUAAUUUUUUCUGCUGUGUGUAUGUAUUUGUUUUUUGAGGACCAUAUGUAUUUUUUUCUUUUAUUUAAUGACAUGACCGUAUAUCUUCUAUCAAA